GAGUUUGAUCGUGGCUCAGAUUGAACGCUGGCGGCAUGCCUUACACAUGCAAGUCGAACGGCAGCACGGGAGCUUGCUCCUGGUGGCGAGUGGCGAACGGGUGAGUAAUGCAUCGGAACGUAUCCUGGAGUGGGGGAUAACGUAGCGAAAGUUACGCUAAUACCGCAUAUUCUGUGAGCAGGAAAGCGGGGGACCUUCGGGCCUCGCGCUCUUGGAGCGGCCGAUGUCGGAUUAGCUAGUUGGUGAGGUAAAGGCUCACCGAGGCGACGAUCCGUAGCAGGUCUGAGAGGAUGAUCUGCCACACUGGAACUGAGACACGGUCCAGACUCCUACGGGAGGCAGCAGUGGGGAAUUUUGGACAAUGGGGGCAACCCUGAUCCAGCCAUGCCGCGUGAGUGAAGAAGGCC
This 407-nucleotide ribosomal RNA is filed under the name bacterium enrichment culture clone ALO1_GLFRUDD03GQDOF. Its description in RNAcentral is "bacterial SSU rRNA". It matches the Rfam family "Bacterial small subunit ribosomal RNA", at positions 9 to 416 of the family's 1533-position model. The record is from RNAcentral.